Molecule: non-coding RNA, 72 nt
Organism: Bos taurus (domestic cattle)
Lineage: Eukaryota; Metazoa; Chordata; Mammalia; Artiodactyla; Bovidae
Source: Rfam
UCCUUUGUAGCUCAGUUGGUAAAGAAUCUGCCUGCAGUACAGAAGACUCAGGUUCGAUUCCUGGGUUGGGAA